This 497-nucleotide ribosomal RNA is filed under the name uncultured bacterium. RNAcentral describes it as "partial 16S ribosomal RNA". It matches the Rfam family "Bacterial small subunit ribosomal RNA", at positions 28 to 507 of the family's 1533-position model. The record is from RNAcentral.
GAUGAACGCUGGCGGCGUGCCUAAUACAUGCAAGUCGAGCGAACGGACGAGAAGCUAGCUUCUCUGAUGUUAGCGGCGGACGGGGGAGUAACACGUGGAUAACCUACCUAUAAGACUGGGAUAACUUCGGGAAACCGGAGCUAAUACCGGAUAAUAUUUUGAACCGCAUGGUUCAAAAGUGAAAGACGGUCUUGCUGUCACUUAUAGAUGGAUCCGCGCUGCAUUAGCUAGUUGGUAAGGUAACGGCUUACCAAGGCAACGAUGCAUAGCCGACCUGAGAGGGUGAUCGGCCACACUGGAACUGAGACACGGUCCAGACUCCUACGGGAGGCAGCAGUAGGGAAUCUUCCGCAAUGGGCGAAAGCCUGACGGAGCAACGCCGCGUGAGUGAUGAAGGUCUUCGGAUCGUAAAACUCUGUUAUUAGGGAAGAACAUAUGUGUAAGUAACUGUGCACAUCUUGACGGUACCUAAUCAGAAAGCCACGGCUAACUACGUG